GAUGAACGCUGGCGGCGUGCUUAACACAUGCAAGUCGAACGGAAAGGCUCCUGCUUGCAGGGGUACUCGAGUGGCGAACGGGUGAGUAACACGUGGGUGAUCUGCCCUGCACUUCGGGAUAAGCCUGGGAAACUGGGUCUAAUACCGGAUAGGACGAUGGUUUGGAUGCCAUUGUGGAAAGUUUUUUCGGUGUGGGAUGAGCUCGCGGCCUAUCAGCUUGUUGGUGGGGUAUUGGCCUACCAAGGCGUCGACGGGUAGCCGGCCUGAGAGGGUGUACGGCCACAUUGGGACUGAGAUACGGCCCAGACUCCUACGGGAGGCAGCAGUGGAGAAUAUUGCACAAUGGGCGCAAGCCUGAUGCAGCGACGCCGCGUGGGGGAUGACGGCCUUCGGGUUGUAAACUCCUUUCGCUAGGGACGAAGCGCAAGUGACGGUACCUGGAGAAGAAGCACCGGCUAACUACGUG
RNAcentral lists this ribosomal RNA (466 nucleotides) under uncultured bacterium. RNAcentral's name for it is "partial 16S ribosomal RNA". It matches the Rfam family "Bacterial small subunit ribosomal RNA", at positions 28 to 507 of the family's 1533-position model. The record is from RNAcentral.